Molecule: long non-coding RNA, 210 nt
Organism: Clupea harengus (Atlantic herring)
Lineage: Eukaryota; Metazoa; Chordata; Actinopteri; Clupeiformes; Clupeidae
Exons: 3
Source: RefSeq, a predicted model, not a curated record
ACCUACAAAAGCCAGUGAUGAAGAAUUUAGAGGUGACAAAUGGCCUUAGAGGACUCAAUCUGACGACCAUCAUACAUGUUCCAGUAAAACUCAAAGGCAAAGACAUCUGGACAAAUGUGGACAGCCUAAAUAUCCAGGGAUGCACUAGAGGGGGGGAGAAGAGCCCAAUCAUCACAGACCUGCAGCACACUUUCAAGGACAACAAGGAGC